UGGGGAAUUUUGGACAAUGGGCGAAAGCCUGAUCCAGCAAUGCCGCGUGUGUGAAGAAGGCCUUCGGGUUGUAAAGCACUUUUGUCCGGAAAGAAAUCCUUGGCUCUAAUACAGUCGGGGGAUGACGGUACCGGAAGAAUAAGCACCGGCUAACUACGUGCCAGCAGCCGCGGUAAUACGUAGGGUGCAAGCGUUAAUCGGAAUUACUGGGCGUAAAGCGUGCGCAGGCGGUUUGCUAAGACCGAUGUGAAACCCCCGGGCUCAACCUGGGAACUGCAUUGGUGACUGGCAGGCUAGAGUAUGGCAGAGGGGGGUAGAGUUCCACGUGUAGCAGUGAAAUGCGUAGAGAUGUGGAGGAAUACCGAUGGCGAAGGCAGCCCCCUGGGCCAAUACUGACGCUCAUGCACGAAAGCGUGGGGAGCAAAACAGGAUUAGAUACCCUGGUAGUCCACGCCCUAAAACGAUGUCAACUAGUUGUUGGGGAUUCAUUUCCUUAGUAACGUAGCUAACGCGUGAAGUUGACCGCCUGGGGAGUACGGUCGCAAGAUUAAAACUCAAAUGAAUUGACGGGGUCAUAGCUGUUUCCU
RNAcentral lists this ribosomal RNA (587 nucleotides) under uncultured bacterium. RNAcentral describes it as "partial 16S ribosomal RNA". It matches the Rfam family "Bacterial small subunit ribosomal RNA", at positions 355 to 1375 of the family's 1533-position model. The record is from RNAcentral.